CCUACGGGAGGCAGCAGUGGGGAAUAUUGCACAGUGGGGGAAACCCUGAUGCAGCGACGCCGCGUGAGUGAAGAAGUAUUUCGGUAUGUAAAGCUCUAUCAGCAGGGAAGAAAAUGACGGUACCUGACUAAGAAGCCCCGGCUAACUACGUGCCAGCAGCCGCGGUAAUACGUAGGGGGCAAGCGUUAUCCGGAUUUACUGGGUGUAAAGGGAGCGUAGGUGGUAUGGCAAGUCAGAGGUGAAAACCCAGGGCUUAACCUUGGGAUUGCCUUUGAAACUGUCAGACUAGAGUGCAGGAGGGGUAAGUGGAAUUCCUAGUGUAGCGGUGAAAUGCGUAGAUAUUAGGAGGAACACCAGUGGCGAAGGCGGCUUACUGGACUGUAACUGACACUGAGGCUCGAAAGCGUGGGGAGCAAACAGGAUUAGAUACCCUGGUAGUCC
RNAcentral lists this ribosomal RNA (441 nucleotides) under Lachnotalea glycerini. Its description in RNAcentral is "bacterial SSU rRNA". It matches the Rfam family "Bacterial small subunit ribosomal RNA", at positions 338 to 796 of the family's 1533-position model. The record is from RNAcentral. Lineage: Bacteria; Bacillati; Bacillota; Clostridia; Lachnospirales; Lachnospiraceae.